This 85-nucleotide transfer RNA is filed under the name Nitrospinae bacterium CG11_big_fil_rev_8_21_14_0_20_56_8. Its description in RNAcentral is "tRNA-Leu". It matches the Rfam family "tRNA". From Rfam's summary of the family: Transfer RNA (tRNA) molecules are approximately 80 nucleotides in length. Their secondary structure includes four short double-helical elements and three loops (D, anti-codon, and T loops). Lineage: Bacteria; Pseudomonadati; Nitrospinota. The record is from RNAcentral.
GCCGAAGUGACGGAACUGGCAGACGUGCAUGACUUAGGAUCAUGUGCCUUCGGGCGUGGGGGUUCGAGUCCCUCCUUCGGCACCA